Molecule: ribosomal RNA, 913 nt
Filed under: uncultured Bacteroidota bacterium
Lineage: Bacteria; Pseudomonadati; Bacteroidota
Description: bacterial SSU rRNA
Rfam family: Bacterial small subunit ribosomal RNA
Source: RNAcentral
GGAUCCAGACUUUGAUUAUGGCUCAGGAUGAACGCUAGCUACAGGCUUAACACAUGCAAGUCGAGGGGAAACGACAUCGAAAGCUUGCUUUUGAUGGGCGUCGACCGGCGCACGGGUGAGUAACGCGUAUCCAACCUGCCCAUCACUUGGGGAUAACCUUGCGAAAGUAAGACUAAUACCCAAUGACGUCUCUAGAAGACAUCUGAAAGAGAUUAAAGAUUUAUCGGUGAUGGAUGGGGAUGCGUCUGAUUAGCUUGUUGGCGGGGUAACGGCCCACCAAGGCAACGAUCAGUAGGGGUUCUGAGAGGAAGGUCCCCCACAUUGGAACUGAGACACGGUCCAAACUCCUACGGGAGGCAGCAGUGAGGAAUAUUGGUCAAUGGGCGAGAGCCUGAACCAGCCAAGUAGCGUGCAGGAUGACGGCCCUAUGGGUUGUAAACUGCUUUUAUAAGGGAAUAAAGUGAGUCUCGUGAGACUUUUUGCAUGUACCUUAUGAAUAAGGACCGGCUAAUUCCGUGCCAGCAGCCGCGGUAAUACGGAAGGUCCGGGCGUUAUCCGGAUUAUUGGGUUUAAAGGGAGCGUAGGCCGGAGAUUAGGCGUGUUGUGAAAUGUAGACGCUCAACGUCUGCACUGCAGCGCGAACUGGUUUCCUUGAGUACGCACAAAGUGGGCGGAAUUCGUGGUGUAGCGGUGAAAUGCUUAGAUAUCACGAAGAACUCCGAUUGCGAAGGCAGCUCACUGGAGCGCAACUGACGCUGAAGCUCGAAAGUGCGGGUAUCGAACAGGAUUAGAUACCCUGGUAGUCCGCACGGUAAACGAUGGAUGCCCGCUGUUGGUCUGAAUAGGUCAGCGGCCAAGCGAAAGCAUUAAGCAUCCCACCUGGGGAGUACGCCGGCAACGGUGCAACUCAAAG